This 1742-nucleotide long non-coding RNA is filed under the name Homo sapiens (human). RNAcentral's name for it is "HSALNT0347249". The record is from RNAcentral. Lineage: Eukaryota; Metazoa; Chordata; Mammalia; Primates; Hominidae.
UCUGCCUAUAGAGGCCUGGGGUCCCUUUGGCAGCACUUUUCUCAAGAAAGUAGAGUCGUGGACAACCAACUGCACAGGUUGGGAGGCUUUGAAGAACAAGCUGCCAUGAAUCCUGCAGCUACAAGGAAAUGAACUCUAUUAACUUGAGUGAGCUUAAAACUAGAUCCUUCCCCAGUCAAGCCUCCAGGUGAGAAUUCAAUCCUGGCUGGCACCUGGAUUGCAGCUUACAGAAGACCCAGCUAAGGCCAUGUCUGGACUUUAAAUCCACAGGAACUGCAAGAUGGUAUCAGAAGUGGGACCUGCAGUGGGGCAUCUAGCAACCCCCAGGAGCAUUGAGUGACCAGGCUUGGGACCCACCGGGCGCAGGGUGUCCAUUGUUCUCUCGAAGCAACUGAGAAUUGUGGAUAUUCUUCAUUAUUCCAUCAUCAUCUCAAACCUCUUGGGUAUAGUGUUUGACUACUACUGUGACCAUAAAUUCCAAUAAAACCUAGGAAAAAUGAAACCACUACAUUAACUGAAAGGAUGAAAGAAGCUUUCGUAUUUAUGUGCUGCAUGUAUUAUUCAGAAGGAAGAUGAUUCCAAGUCAUGUUAUUUCCAAGGAAGCAACAAUAACUUCACUGGACCCCUGCUGAUCUUAAAGUGCAGCAUGAAAAACAGUCUUGGAGACUUCUAGAGAUGUCCAAAGUAUGCCUACGGGGAGCAAUAGGGAUACCAGGAGAAUCUGAUGAACUAUGCCUGACAAAGGAGAGGCUCUGCUGAAUAUGGAAGGGUGUAAACAGUAGAACGAACCUGGACCAUUGAACCCCUGAAUUAUCCAACCAUCUUACUUCUGGACUUCUUAUUUUGUGACUAAAAAUUCCUUUUGAAAUGAGAGUUAUUUGUGAUUGAGAUCUGGUUUACUUAAGAGCCAAAAAACAGAUGUAUUUGCAUUUUGCCAUCAUUGGAAAUAUGCCCUUACCCAGAAUUCAUUCCAAAGUAAAGUCAGAGCAUAAGGAAAAUAGAAGUUCUCGGUGAUGCUGGCAGAGUGAAUAGAUUACAUCCAUGUUAUUAUGAGAGUCUGAAUCUGAACAUUGAAUCUGACCCUUCUGAGAGGACACUACACCACUAGAGGGAAUCAAACAGAAGAUACAAAAUUUCUGCUCUCAGUUCUAGAGCAGCCCGUGCCAGAAAACUAAAGCUGCCAGUGCCUUGUCCUCGGAUGCCCAGCCUCCAGAACAUCAUUGCUGCUUCCGGUGAGCUUCAACUGUGGUGAAGAAAGAAACCCACAUACCUAACAACAACAUAAGAGAGAAAGAAAAAAAUACAUUUAGCAAAGGUACAAGCAACAUGUUACAUGAUCACUGAGGAAGAAGCAGAUGUGUUAAAGUGUAAAAAGGAAGCUGUGAAAGAGAUAUCAAAAAUAGGAGGAAGAGAGAGAGAGAAAAUGAAAGAAGAUGUGUAAUCCUGGGCUCUAGCUACAUGGCCUCUGAUGUGGUGAACUGCAGACAGAGCAGUGUGGCAGCUGAAUGACAAACGCAGCAAACUGGAACAACAUGAACCCUCCGUAACUUUAACAUCAUAGCUGAUUAAGUUUUCUGGCAUGUAAAAUGCAUCCACUGUGAGAAAUUCUGUAUCUCAGACAUGACUCACUGUUUAGCAUGUUUAUACCAUUAGGAAAUACUAAAGAUGUUUCCUCAAGCGUAUGAUUGUAUUAUAAGAGCACAUGUAAAAGCACUUAUUUUGAUAGUAAAGAGUGGCUACCA